UUCCAGACUCCUACGGGAGGCAGCAGUGAGGAAUAUUGGUCAAUGGGCGGGAGCCUGAACCAGCCAAGUCGCGUGAGGGAAGACGGCCCUACGGGUUGUAAACCUCUUUUGUCGGGGAGCAAAGCGAGUCACGUGUGACUCAUUGAGAGUACCCGAAGAAAAAGCGUCGGCUAACUCCGUGCCAGCAGCCGCGGUAAUACGGAGGAUGCGAGCGUUAUCCGGAUUUAUUGGGUUUAAAGGGUGCGCAGGCGGAGGUGCAAGUCAGCGGUCAAAUUGCGGGGCUCAACCCCGUACUGCCGUUGAAACUGGCGUUCUUGAGUGGGCGAGAAGUAUGCGGAAUGCGUGGUGUAGCGGUGAAAUGCAUAGAUAUUACGCAGAACUCCGAUUGCGAAGGCAGCAUACCGGCGCCCAACUGACGCUGAAGCACGAAAGCGUGGGUACCGAACAGGAUUAAAUACCCUCGUAC
This 466-nucleotide ribosomal RNA is filed under the name uncultured bacterium. RNAcentral describes it as "bacterial SSU rRNA". It matches the Rfam family "Bacterial small subunit ribosomal RNA", at positions 329 to 793 of the family's 1533-position model. The record is from RNAcentral.